Molecule: ribosomal RNA, 408 nt
Filed under: Aquabacterium sp.
Lineage: Bacteria; Pseudomonadati; Pseudomonadota; Betaproteobacteria; Burkholderiales; Sphaerotilaceae
Description: bacterial SSU rRNA
Rfam family: Bacterial small subunit ribosomal RNA
Source: RNAcentral
UCCUUUGGGUUAAUACCUCGGAGGGAUGACGGUACCUGAAGAAUAAGCACCGGCUAACUACGUGCCAGCAGCCGCGGUAAUACGUAGGGUGCGAGCGUUAAUCGGAAUUACUGGGCGUAAAGCGUGCGCAGGCGGUCUUGCAAGACAGGUGUGAAAUCCCCGGGCUCAACCUGGGAACUGCACUUGUGACUGCAAGGCUGGAGUACGGCAGAGGGGGAUGGAAUUCCGCGUGUAGCAGUGAAAUGCGUAGAUAUGCGGAGGAACACCGAUGGCGAAGGCAAUCCCCUGGGCCUGUACUGACGCUCAUGCACGAAAGCGUGGGGAGCAAACAGGAUUAGAUACCCUGGUAGUCCACGCCCUAAACGAUGUCAACUGGUUGUUGGACGGCUUGCUGUUCAGUAACGAAGC